Helicoverpa zea (corn earworm) is the source of this 716-nucleotide long non-coding RNA. RefSeq lists it as uncharacterized. The record is from RefSeq and is a predicted model, not a curated record. The transcript is spliced from 3 exons. NCBI's taxonomy places the organism in Eukaryota, Metazoa, Arthropoda, Insecta, Lepidoptera, Noctuidae.
UGUCAGGAACGCAUUCUCUGAACGGCCGAACUUAUAGUCUUAUUGACAGACAGCGAAGUUUAGGAUCCUCGUUGCAACCAUCAUAGACGUAAUAUAAAUGUAGUAGGUAAACAUGACUGAACACUUAUAUCCAAAAAACGAGCCGAGUGAAGCAGAUAGUACGGAGGCCGUCUGUCCCUUUCUAAUAGGGUGACCAUAAGAUUAAGCUAUGUGAGACAAAUCCGAAUUUGCUUAGAUUAUUUAACACAGAUGGGUAUUAAAGUUUUAACUUACGCAUAGGAUGAUGGGUAUCUCAAAGUAACAAAAAAAUAUCUUGAGUUUCUCCGUGAUCAAUGUUAUGGGGUUAAAGAAUAUAAGAUAUUACGAAAGCAAAACAAGGGAUAAAGAUAGCUGUCACUGUCCGCAUUAGUGCAAAGGUCUCGUCAAUACUAAUAAUGCGUAUAAUCCCAAACACGAGGUAGUUUACAAAUUCAGUUGUCGAGUUGCUUCGACCUUCGGUCUCCAACAUCAGGAGGAGAAAUCGUUGGUAUAGCGUCGGCUUUCAAUAAUUGGCUGGAAUUGCACUAUUUAAGCAGGAACAUUCGAAGUGAAGACUGGAUACAACAGAAUUUUUAGUAAUUUUUUGCUUCAAAUAUAGACUGCUGAGCCAUUUAUGUCGCCUUUCUUCAUUGUUUCGUCUGGAUUCAGUGUAAUAGGAUAAUAAACACCACAUCACA